This is a non-coding RNA of Paramuricea clavata, 350 nucleotides long. NCBI's taxonomy places the organism in Eukaryota, Metazoa, Cnidaria, Anthozoa, Malacalcyonacea, Plexauridae. The record is from the annotation of a GenBank genome assembly.
AUAAUUUACCCGCAAAUGGCGUGAUCGCCCGAAUCUAAAAAAUGUCAAAGAUCAUCAAAGUGAAAGUAGACUUGUUGAUUUUAUCGUGUAUAUUAAGCCGUAAAAAAUGAGAGAAUCUUUUCAUGUUCAAUUAUUCAUCUGAAUCAAUGCCUUUUUCAAGCAUUGGGGACACUUUAAUGAUAUGGAAUGGCUUAUAAGGUAAGAAAUACUGGACAUAUUACGAAGCAUAUUUAUAUGCGACCGUGCCUGAUUGAUCAAAAUUUAACAUCAUUAAGUUCGUAUAAACCCCGCUAAACCGCGUAUUUAGGUAUUUAAUAGCCAAUAUUAAACAGAUAGAUGUAAACCUUAAG